UACAGAGGUCCCGAGCGUUGUUCGGAUUCACUGGGCGUAAAGGGUGCGUAGGCGGUUCUGAAAGUCUGAUGUGAAAUCUCCAGGCCCAACCUGGAAACGGCAUUAGAAACUACAGGGCUAGAGGCUUGGAGGGGGAACUGGAAUGCUCGGUGUAGCAGUGAAAUGCGUAGAGAUCGAGCGGAACACCAGUGGCGAAGGCGGUGGUCUGGGCCGGAACUGACGCUGAGGAGCGAAAGCGUGGGGAGCGAACAGG
Molecule: ribosomal RNA, 253 nt
Filed under: uncultured bacterium
Lineage: Bacteria
Description: partial 16S ribosomal RNA
Rfam family: Bacterial small subunit ribosomal RNA
Source: RNAcentral